UUGGAGGGCAAGUCUGGUGCCAGCAGCCGCGGUAAUUCCAGCUCCAAUAGCGUAUAUUAAAGUUGUUGCAGUUAAAAAGCUCGUAGUUGAAUUUCGGGAUUGACGUGAUGGUCGUGCCUUAAGGGGUAUGAACUGUUACUGUUGAUUUCUCACCUUCUGGAGAAACUUGAUGUCCUUUAUUGGGUGUCUUGCGGAUCCAGGACCUUUACCUUGAAAAAAUUAGAGUGUUUAAAGCAGGCAUUUUUUGCUCGAAUACAUUAGCAUGGAAUAAUAGGAUAGGACGGCAUGGUUCUAUUUUGUUGGUUUCUAGGAUCACCGUAAUGAUUAAUAGGGAUAGUUGGGGGCAUUAGUAUUCAAUUGUCAGAGGUGAAAUUCUUGGAUUUAUUGAAGACUAACUACUGCGAAAGCAUUUGCCAAGGAUGUUUUCAUUAAUCAAGAACGAAAGUUAGGGGAUCGAAGACGAUCAGAUACCGUCGUAGUCUUAACCAUAAACUAUGCCGACUAGGAAUCAGACGAUGUUAAUUUUUUAGUGACUCGUUUGGCACCUUACGGAAACCAAAGUGUUUGGGUUC
Molecule: ribosomal RNA, 572 nt
Filed under: uncultured Glomeromycotina
Lineage: Eukaryota; Fungi; Glomeromycota
Description: SSU rRNA
Rfam family: Eukaryotic small subunit ribosomal RNA
Source: RNAcentral